Molecule: long non-coding RNA, 835 nt
Organism: Hirundo rustica (Barn swallow)
Lineage: Eukaryota; Metazoa; Chordata; Aves; Passeriformes; Hirundinidae
Exons: 3
Source: RefSeq, a predicted model, not a curated record
GUCACCCUGGCUCCGGUGAGCCCGGCGGGGGUGGCUCAGCCAGCGCAGCGCCCUGGGCCCCCUGCGAGUGACACAGAGCAGGGACCUGCUCAGAUCCACCCCUGACAGCAGCCCUGGCUGGCUCAGGCAGAGCAGCAUCGCCUCUUCUGGCAGUGCCAAGGCUGGGGACAGACGGACACUGGGGAUUGCCUGUGGCUGGCACAGCUCAGGCCCUGCCCCCCAUCACCAGAGGUGGAGUUCAGCUGCUGGAGAUGAGCGAUUCCCCUCUGGAAUGAGUGCAGGAGGAUGGAGCCAUGCCAGCGUCCCUUCCCUUAUUCUGGUUCCUUCAGAAGUCCAGCUGCGGAAAGUACGAUUUUCCAAGCUGCAAGUAGCCAGGGGCACUUAACUCCAGCAGCCUUGACCUUGAGAGGUUUCUCCAGAGCCACCUGGUCCCCCUGGGAAGCUGGAAAACCUCCUUCUAUCGCAUUGCAUCUGCCAGCAGCUCAUAAAUCAGCCGGCAGUGGCUGGCAGCCCCUUUGAGGAUCCCGUCCGUGUUGGCGCUCGCGGUGAAGCGUGCGCUCAGCAAACCAACCUCUCCGUUUCAGCAGAGAGUCCAUCUGCCAUGUUUGGAGGCGAUUUUGUUCGAAAUUGGUUCAGCGCUGCAAGGUAGAGUUGAUUUCACCACCACCCCUCUUUUCCCAAAUCUCUGUUCAGGAAUACAGUUGGAUGCAAAUCUCUGGAUUUUCAUGUUAUGUAAAGAAUCACAGACUGAACUGUACUGGGCCGGUUAUUUCUCUCUUUGAGUAAGCUGAAGAAUUUAUUUGUAGAGUUAAAAGUAAAAAAAAAUGGAAUAAAA